AAGUUACGUAUUGCUGGUGCUGUUCGGAUUCUAUCGUGUUUCCCUAAGAGUUUGAUCCUGGCUCAGAUUGAACGCUGGCGGCAUGCCUUACACAUGCAAGUCGAACGGUAACAGGGAGCUUGCUCCGCUGACGAGUGGCGAACGGGUGAGUAAUACAUCGGAACGUGCCCAGUAAUGGGGGAUAGCUCGGCGAAAGCCGGAUUAAUACCGCAUACGCCCUGAGGGGGAAAGUGGGGGACCGCAAGGCCUCACGUUAUUGGAGCGGCCGAUGGCUGAUUAGCUAGUUGGUAGGGUAAAGGCCUACCAAGGCGACGAUCAGUAGCUGGUCUGAGAGGACGAUCAGCCACACUGGGACUGAGACACGGCCCAGACUCCUACGGGAGGCAGCAGUGGGGAAUUUUGGACAAUGGGGGAAACCCUGAUCCAGCAAUGCCGCGUGUGCGAAGAAGGCCUUCGGGUUGUAAAGCACUUUUGUCGGGAAAAAAWCCUUUGGGCUAAUACCCUAGGGGGAUGACGGUACCUGAAGAAUAAGCACCGGCUAACUACGUGCCAGCAGCCGCGGUAAUACGUAGGGUGCAAGCGUUAAUCGGAAUUACUGGGCGUAAAGCGUGCGCAGGCGGUUGUGUAAGACAGGUGUGAAAUCCCCGGGCUUAACCUGGGAAUUGCAUUUGUGACUGCACGACUAGAGUGUGUCAGAGGGGGUGGAAUUCCACGUGUAGCAGUGAAAUGCGUAGAUAUGUGGAGGAACACCAAUGGCGAAGGCAGCCCCCUGGGAUAACACUGACGCUCAUGCACGAAAGCGUGGGGAGCAAACAGGAUUAGAUACCCUGGUAGUCCACGCCCUAAACGAUGUCAACUAGUUGUUGGGGAUUUACUUCCUUGGUAACGUAGCUAACGCGUGAAGUUGACCGCCUGGGGAGUACGGCCGCAAGGUUAAAACUCAAAGGAAUUGACGGGGACCCGCACAAGCGGUGGAUGAUGUGGAUUAAUUCGAUGCAACGCGAAAAACCUUACCUACCCUUGACAUGGCAGGAACUUUCCAGAGAUGGAUUGGUGCUCGAAAGAGAACCUGCACACAGGUGCUGCAUGGCUGUCGUCAGCUCGUGUCGUGAGAUGUUGGGUUAAGUCCCGCAACGAGCGCAACCCUUGUCAUUAGUUGCUACAUUUAGUUGGGGCACUCUAAUGAGACUGCCGGUGACAAGCCGGAGGAAGGUGGGGAUGACGUCAAGUCCUCAUGGCCCUUAUAGGUGGGGCUACACACGUCAUACAAUGGCCGGUACAAAGGGUCGCAAACCCGCGAGGGGGAGCCAAUCCAUCAAAGCCGGUCGUAGUCCGGAUCGCAGUCUGCAACUCGACUGCGUGAAGUCGGAAUCGCUAGUAAUCGUGGAUCAGCAUGUCACGGUGAAUACGUUCCCGGGUCUUGUACACACCGCCCGUCACACCAUGGGAGCGGGUCUCGCCAGAAGUAGGUAGCCUAACCGCAAGGAGGGCGCUUACCACGGCGGGGUUCGUGACUGGGGUGAAGUCGUAACAAGGUAGCCGUAUCGGAAGGUGCGGCUGGAUCACCUCCUUUCUGGAAAAAUCCACACCAGCUGUUUGAAUGCUGAUCUUGCUUGUCAAGGUUGAGCGCAAGGAGCGGCAGUGGAUCAAGCAAUCAAGCUCAAACGCUCACACUUAUCGGUUGUUCAAAAGAUGUCAUUGACGUCUUGGCGAGAGUCAUGGCGAUCACUGUCCGGCCUGGGUCUGUAGCUCAGUUGGUUAGAGCACUGUGUUGAUAACGCAGGGGUCGUUGGUUCGAACCCAACCAGACCCACCAGUGCACAUCUUUAAGUGGACAAGUAUGGGGGAUUAGCUCAGCUGGGAGAGCACCUGCUUUGCAAGCAGGGGGUCGUCGGUUCGAUCCCGUCAUCCUCCACCAAUCUUUUGAUUCAGCUGCCUUCGGGUGGAAUUCAACAUCAAAGCAUUCUCUGCGGAGUGUGCUUUGAUGUUGAUCGGUAUCUAUCGAUCAUCAAGCAAUCUUAGGAUUGCAACGGCUGUUCUUUAAAAAUUCAUAGAGUCGAAUCAGAGUUGCUGAUGGAAAGCGUACAUUCGUAAAGGUUUAGUACGCACCGUGCCAUCAGCAACGUAAUUUUUGAUUGCGUCAACGAAUAUUCAAUUUAGUCAUAAGAUAUAAAUUGAAACGGCAUAACGCGUCAGGUGAAAGACCUGACAAGACAUUUGCUUGAUGUAGCGAUGUGUUUUACCUGGUUGAACGACUGGGUAAGACGUCAAAGUUAUAGGGUCAAGUGAAUAAGAGCAUGUGGUGGAUGCCUUGGCGAUGAUAGGCGACGAAGGACGUGAUAGCCUGCGAUAAGCUUCGGGGAGCUGGCAAAUAAGCUUUGAUCCGGAGAUUUCCGAAUGGGGAAACCCACCUAGCAGUAGGUAUCGCAUGAUGAAUACAUAGUCAUGCGAGGCGAACCGGGUGAACUGAAACAUCUCAGUAGCUCGAGGAAAAGACAUCAACCGAGAUUCCGAAAGUAGUGGCGAGCGAAAUUGGAAGAGCCUGUUAGUGAUAGCGCAAGACUUAACGGAACGUUCUGGAAAGGACGGCCAUAGUGGGUGAUAGCCCCGUACGUGAAAAGACCUGUGUGGUACUAAGCUAACGAAAAGUAGGGCGGGACACGAGAAAUCCUGUCUGAAUAUGGGGGACCAUCCUCCAAGGCUAAAUACUCAUCAUCGACCGAUAGUGAACAAGUACCGUGAGGGAAAGGCGAAAAGAACCCCGGGGGGGGUGAAAUAGAUCCUGAAACCGCAUGCUUACAAAAAGUAGGAGCCUCGUAAGGGGUGACUGCGUACCUUUUGUAUAAUGGGUCAGCGACUUACAUUCAGUGGCAAGGUUAACCGAAUAGGGAAGCCGUAGAGAAAUCGAGUCCGAAUAGGGCGAAUCAGUCGCUGGGUGUAGACCCGAAACCAAGUGAUCUAUCCAUGGCCAGGAUGAAGGUGCUGUAACAGGUACUGGAGGUCCGAACCGACUAAUGUUGCAAAAAUUAGCGGAUGAGCUGUGGAUAGGGGUGAAAGGCUAAACAAACUUGGAAAUAGCUGGUUCUCUCCGAAAACUAUUUAGGUAGUGCCUCAAGUAUUACCGUCGGGGUAGAGCACUGUUUUGGCUAGGGGGUCAUGGCGACUUACCAAACCAAGGCAAACUCCGAAUACCGACGAGUACAGCUUGGGAGACAGAGCACCGGGUGCUAACGUCCGGACUCAAGAGGGAAACAACCCAGACCGCCAGCUAAGGUCCCUAAAAUUGGCUAAGUGGGAAACGAAGUGGGAAGGCUAAAACAGUCAGGAUGUUGGCUUAGAAGCAGCCAUCAUUUAAAGAAAGCGUAAUAGCUCACUGAUCGAGUCGUCCUGCGCGGAAGAUGUAACGGGGCUAAGCCAGUUACCGAAGCUGCGGAUUUGCAAUUUAUUGCAAGUGGUAGGAGAGCGUUCUGUAAGCCUGUGAAGGUGUCUUGUAAAGGAUGCUGGAGGUAUCAGAAGUGCGAAUGCUGACAUGAGUAGCGUUAAAGGGGGKRAAAASCCCCUCGCCGUAAGCGCAAGGUUUCCUACGCAACGUUCAUCGGCGUAGGGUGAGUCGGCCCCUAAGGUGAGGCAGAGAUGCGUAACUGAUGGGAAACAGGUCAAUAUUCCUGUACCGAUUACAAGUGCGAUGUGGGGACGGAUCUUAAUAGGUUAUCCGGCUGUUGGAAGUGCCGGUUUAGACAGAUGUAGGCGACACGUAGGCAAAUCCGCGUGUCAUAUACCGAGGCUGUCGAUCGAGUGAGCUUGCUCACGAAGUAACUGAACGAGGUCCCAGGAAAAGCCACUAAGCUUCAGCUUGUAAUUGACCGUACCGCAAACCGACACUGGUGCGCGAGAUGAGUAUUCUAAGGCGCUUGAGAGAACUCUGGAGAAGGAACUCGGCAAAUUGACACCGUAACUUCGGAAGAAGGUGUGCCCUUGUAGUGUGAUGAGAACAUCUGAGCACGAACGGGUUGCAAAAAAUUGGUGGCUGCGACUGUUUAUUAAAAACACAGCACUCUGCAAACACGAAAGUGGACGUAUAGGGUGUGACGCCUGCCCGGUGCUGGAAGAUUAAUUGAUGGGGUGCAAGCUCUUGAUCGAAGUCCCAGUAAACGGCGGCCGUAACUAUAACGGUCCUAAGGUAGCGAAAUUCCUUGUCGGGUAAGUUCCGACCUGCACGAAUGGCGUAACGAUGGCCACACUGUCUCCUCCAGAGACUCAGCGAAGUUGAAAUGUUUGUGAUGAUGCAAUCUCCCCGCGGAAAGACGGAAAGACCCCAUGAACCUUUACUGUAGCUUUGUAUUGAAUUUUGAACAGAUCUGUGUAGGAUAGGUGGGAGGCUUUGAAGCAGGGUCGCUAGAUCUUGUGGAGCCAACGUUGAAAUACCACCCUGGUGUGUUUGAGGUUCUAACCUAGGUCCAUUAUCUGGAUCGGGGACAGUGCAUGGUAGGCAGUUUWACUGGGGCGGUUAGGGAAACACGAUAGAAUCCGAACAG
RNAcentral lists this ribosomal RNA (4535 nucleotides) under uncultured bacterium. RNAcentral's name for it is "partial contains 16S ribosomal RNA, 16S-23S ribosomal RNA intergenic spacer, and 23S ribosomal RNA". The record is from RNAcentral.